RNAcentral lists this unclassified non-coding RNA (380 nucleotides) under uncultured bacterium. RNAcentral's name for it is "contains 16S-23S intergenic spacer region". The record is from RNAcentral.
UCCGGUUUGUCACCGGCAGUCUCAUUAGAGUGCCCAACCAAAUGUAGCAACUAAUGACAAGGGUUGCGCUCGUUGCGGGACUUAACCCAACAUCUCACGACACGAGCUGACGACAGCCAUGCAGCACCUGUGUUCCGAUUCCCUUUCGGGCACAACCGCAUCUCUGCGGCCUCUCGGACAUGUCAAGGGUAGGUAAGGUUUUUCGCGUUGCAUCGAAUUAAUCCACAUAAUCCACCGCUUGUGCGGGUCCCCGUCAAUUCCUUUGAGUUUUAGCCUUGCGGCCGUACUCCCCAGGCGGGGCACUUAAUGCGUUAGCUUCGGCACGGCAACCGUUGGUCGGGUCGCCACACCUAGUGCCCAACGUUUACAGCGUGGACUAC